ACGAACGCUGGCGGCGUGCCUAAUACAUGCAAGUCGAGCGGAAUGAUGAAGAAGCUUGCUUCUUCUGAUUUUAGCGGCGGACGGGUGAGUAGCACGUGGGCAACCUACCUUGUAGAUUGGGAUAACUCCGGGAAACCGGGGCUAAUACCGAAUAAUCCAUUUUGCUUCAUGGCGAGAUGUUGAAAGACGGUUUCGGCUGUCACUACAAGAUGGGCCCGCGGCGCAUUAGCUAGUUGGUAGGGUAAUGGCCUACCAAGGCGACGAUGCGUAGCCGACCUGAGAGGGUGAUCGGCCACACUGGGACUGAGACACGGCCCAGACUCCUACGGGAGGCAGCAGUAGGGAAUCUUCCACAAUGGACGAAAGUCUGAUGGAGCAACGCCGCGUGAGUGAAGAAGGUUUUCGGAUCGUAAAACUCUGUUGUAAGGGAAGAACACGUACGAGAGUAACUGCUCGUACCUUGACGGUACCUUAUUAGAAAGCCACGGCUAACUACGUG
RNAcentral lists this ribosomal RNA (499 nucleotides) under uncultured bacterium. RNAcentral's name for it is "bacterial SSU rRNA". It matches the Rfam family "Bacterial small subunit ribosomal RNA", at positions 29 to 507 of the family's 1533-position model. The record is from RNAcentral.